Sinocyclocheilus grahami is the source of this 181-nucleotide long non-coding RNA. RefSeq lists it as uncharacterized. Lineage: Eukaryota; Metazoa; Chordata; Actinopteri; Cypriniformes; Cyprinidae. The transcript has 2 exons. The record is from RefSeq and is a predicted model, not a curated record.
CUCCUACAGAUAACCCACAAUGCUUUGCGUCGCCGUGAACAACCGUCGUUUAUUUGAAAAAAUGGCGGCGCCGGCAGAUCUACACACAAGCGGAGAUGUGGUGUUUAAAUAUUUAUUCUGGAGAAAAUGGACCUGUCCAGUAAAAUAACACCAGCACAAGCAAAGAAAAAGUGGGACAAUU